GUCCUCUUGUUUGUAUAUGAGGUCUGACCUGCCCGGUGAAAAUUAUUUUAACGGCCGCAGUAUUUUGACUGUGCAAAGGUAGCAUAAUCAUUAGUCUUUUAAUAGGGGGCUGGAAUGAAGGGUUUGACGAGGUGUUAACUGUCUCAUUAAAUUUGUUAUUAGAAUUUAACUUUAUAGUCAAAAGGCUAUAAUUAUAUUGGAAGACGAGAAGACCCUAUAGAGCUUUAUAAUUAAAGAUUUAAUUAUUAUUUGUUUAUUAUUUUUUAUUAUUUUUUUAAUUAUUUUGUUGGGGUGACAAAAAUAUAUAAUUAACUUUUUUAUUUAAUAAACAUUGAUUGAUGAUUAUUAGAUCCAAUCUUAUUGAUUGUUAGAUUAAGUUACC
RNAcentral lists this ribosomal RNA (382 nucleotides) under Stylurus plagiatus. RNAcentral describes it as "partial 16S ribosomal RNA". Lineage: Eukaryota; Metazoa; Arthropoda; Insecta; Odonata; Gomphidae. The record is from RNAcentral.